This 491-nucleotide ribosomal RNA is filed under the name uncultured bacterium. Its description in RNAcentral is "partial 16S ribosomal RNA". It matches the Rfam family "Bacterial small subunit ribosomal RNA", at positions 28 to 507 of the family's 1533-position model. The record is from RNAcentral.
GAUGAACGCUGUCUACAGGCUUAACACAUGCAAGUCGAGGGGAAACGACGGGGAAGCUUGCUUCCCCGGGCGUCGACCGGCGCACGGGUGAGUAACGCGUAUCCAACCUGCCUCUGACUGAGGGAUAACCCGUCGAAAGUCGGCCUAAUACCUCAUGGCAUCGUCUGCGGGCAUCCAACGACGAUUAAAGAUUUCAUCGGUCAGGGAUGGGGAUGCGUCUGAUUAGCUUGUUGGCGGGGUAACGGCCCACCAAGGCUACGAUCAGUAGGGGUUCUGAGAGGAAGGUCCCCCACAUUGGAACUGAGACACGGUCCAAACUCCUACGGGAGGCAGCAGUGAGGAAUAUUGGUCAAUGGGCGGGAGCCUGAACCAGCCAAGUAGCGCGCAGGAUGACGGCCCUAUGGGUUGUAAACUGCUUUUAUGCGGGGAUAAAGUGAGGGACGUGUCCUUCAUUGCAGGUACCGCAUGAAUAAGGACCGGCUAAUUCCGUG